CUCUGCCUCCCAAGUGCUGGGAUUAAAGGCGUGCGCCACCACUGCCCAGCACACUAGGUUUUUUUUUCUAAGUGGAAAAUUAAUAUUGUUAGGAAUUAUUUGUAAGUUAAGGUCCAUUCAGAGUGCAAUACAAACCAGUGGAUACGUAUGUGCUUGGAAAGGAACCAGGAUUUUAUAAGCAUGCUAGAAAAGUGCUCUGUCACUCAUCAGCCCCAACCCCGACCAAUGGGGUCUUUCUAUUGCUGUGAAAAGACAGCAUGACCAAAGCAGCUUACAGAAGAAAGCAUAUGAUUGGGGGCCUGGUGACUAAGUUUCGGAGAGUUAGCUCAUGGUCAUCAUGGUCAGGAGCAUGGUGGCAGGAAGUUAUGGCCCUGGAGCAGUAGUUAAGGCCUUACAAGUGAUCCACAAGAUGGUGACAGAAAGAGAGACAGAGAUGGACCUGGCAGGAGCUUUUGAAAUCUCAAAGCCCCAGUGACACACCUCCAACAAGGCCACGCCUACUCCAGGAAGGCCACACCUCCUAAUCCUUCCUAAACAGUCCUCCAAACAUUCAAAUAUAUGAGCCUAUGGAGACCAUUCUCAUUCAAAUCAGUCCUCAGAUCCUACAGUAGAAGGAGGGAAUCAACUCCCAAAAGUUGUCCUCUGACCUCUGCCUGAGUGCUAUACAUGUGCCAGUAAAUUUUUUUAAAGCUUUUUAACAAAUUCCAUUGUGUAUAUACGCCAUAUUUUCUUUACCCAUCCAUCGGUUGAUGUUCAAGCUAGCCCCAAUUCCUACUUUGUGAAUCGCAGAGCAAUGAAUGUGGAUGCUGGAGAACAGUAGGACUAGAGUCUCUAGGUCUGUGGCCACUAGUGGUAUAGCUGGGUCAGAUGGUAGUUCUGGUUUUUAGAUGUGUUUGUGGUGGUGGUGGCAGUUUGGGGCUUUGGUUAGCAGCUGUUUGAGAAACCUCCAUGCUGAUUUCCAUAGUGAAUGCAAGAAUGCAUGCCCUCCAGCCACGGACAAGAGUUCCUCUUUCCCGACAUCCUCAGCAUUCUUUGUUGCCACUUGCUUCUUUGAUGUUUAACCAUUCUCACUGGCCUGAUAUGGACGUUCAGAGUAGUUUAAAUUUGAAUUUCCCUGUCAGUGAAUGAUGUUACACACCGUUUUAAAUAUUUAUUGACCGUUUUGUUUCUUUUUUUUUUUUGAAAAUUAUCUGUUUAGUUUAUUCUUGACUAUUGAUAGGAAGAUUUGGGGAUGUUUUUGGUUUUCCUUUAUGUAUACUAUCCAUAAACCCCUUGCCUGAAGUACAGCUAGCAAACAUUUCCUCCCGGUCUGUAGGCUUUCUCUCUUUACUCUGCCAAUCAGUUCCUUUGCAUACAGGAGCCUUUUGAUUUCGUGUAAUCCCAUUGGUCAAAUUUUUGAUUUACGUACUACACUGCUAGAGUUAUUAGCAGAAAGGUUUUGCCUAUGUCUAUACCUUGAAGAGUUUCUGCAUGGUUUCUCCUUGCACUUGCGGUGUUCUGGCCUCUAUGUUAAAGUCCUUGAUCCAUUCUGAGUUGAUUCUUUUACAACUUUUAUUUAAUCUAUUCAUUUUAUUUUUUAUGUGAACAUUUUGCCUGGAUGGAUGGAUGGAUGUCCACCAUGUGCAUAUUUGGUACCCACAGAGGUCAGAAGAGGGCAUCGGAUACCCUCAAAUAUGGAUGGCUGUGAACCACAUUAUGGGGGUGCUGGAAAUCGGACCCUGGUCCUCUGCAAGGAUGGAUACUCAACUUUCCCAGCAUCAUGAAUUUAAGAGGCUGUCUUAUUUUCCAGGCAAAUCACAACAUAUUAAGUGCAAAAGAAAAUAUGAGAAUACAGAUAUUUUCCAUGAAGCCAAACAAUAAAGAAGAUGUUUGCAGAAAAACAUGUCAAGAAAGCCGUUUUUGUCUGUAGUUUUUUUGUUGUUAUUGUUGUUUAGAAAAGUAGUGACUUUUUAAAUUUGUUAUUGAUGUUGAUAACAUCAGCUUGUCUUAGUUACUUUUCUACUGCUAUGAAGAGACAAUAUGUCCAGGACAAUUUAUGAGAGACAGCAUUUAACUAGGGAUGUGCCUGCAAUUCCAGAGUGUGACUGUAAAGCAUCAUGGGAGGGGAGCAACAGGUGGGCAGACCUGGUACUGGAGCAGCAGCAGCUGAGUGCUGGCAUACCUUUUGGGCCAUUUUGGGGGGUUGUAUUAUCUACCAUUCUUCCAACCCUUACUCCACCCCAAUACCUUCCAACCCCCAACACUAGGUAAAACAGAAAGAAAGUUAGAGAGGAAAGGGGGCUUAGACCUCUUUAGACUACUUCCUGCUGCUUGCUGAUGUAGCUGAUGUAGGGUUCCUUGAGGCAACUCCAGUCUCUGUUGUCAGGAUAUCUCCAACCAGCAAUCCAGCAGAAGAGCAAACAGGCAAUGCAGCAAUAGCAAAAGCAGCAGCAGGGGAAGCAGCAGCUGCCCCAGGUCCUCUCAGGGAUCUUGCAUUUAUACCCUCUCAAGAAUCCCCAGAAUUUCAAACAUAAACUAUCCUCAGUUGGCAAAAAUUGCAUCCCUCCUAGAGCAUGAGACAAUCAUGGUUAGCAGCUGUGGACAGUCUGAAGCAGCUCCAUAUUCCACACCUGGGAUUAAAACAAAAACAUAUUCACAUAACAUAAGUGGGUUUUUGAAGAAACCAAAAUUCUCACUACAGCUGAGGAUGUACAUCUGUCCCACAAGCGUGAGGCAGAGAGAGAGCUGGGAUUGUGUGAGCAUUUGAAACCUCAGAUCCCACUCACAGAGACACUCCUCCAGC
Molecule: long non-coding RNA, 2782 nt
Organism: Mastomys coucha (southern multimammate mouse)
Lineage: Eukaryota; Metazoa; Chordata; Mammalia; Rodentia; Muridae
Exons: 3
Source: RefSeq, a predicted model, not a curated record